GAAUUUGUCGGUUGGUCGGGCUUCACUGUCCGCACUAACCUGAUGGAUUCCUACCUUCUGAAUAACCAGCAUGUUACUAAAUUAGUGCGUUGGGAAGCAGACCUAUUACCUUAAAAAAAUUAGAGUGUUCAAAGCAGGCUUAUGCUUGAAUAGAUUAGCAUGGAAUAAUAAAAUAGGACGGCAUGGUUCUAUUUUGUUGGUUUCUAGGAUCACCGUA
Molecule: ribosomal RNA, 217 nt
Filed under: Campeiostachys nutans
Lineage: Eukaryota; Viridiplantae; Streptophyta; Magnoliopsida; Poales; Poaceae
Description: Elymus nutans partial small subunit ribosomal RNA
Rfam family: Eukaryotic small subunit ribosomal RNA (bases 71-217)
Source: RNAcentral